This 468-nucleotide ribosomal RNA is filed under the name uncultured bacterium. RNAcentral's name for it is "partial 16S ribosomal RNA". It matches the Rfam family "Bacterial small subunit ribosomal RNA", at positions 28 to 507 of the family's 1533-position model. The record is from RNAcentral.
GACGAACGCUGGCGGCGUGCUUAACACAUGCAAGUCGAACGGAAAGGCCCUGCUUUUGUGGGGCUCUCGUGUGGCGAACGGGUGAGUAACACGUGAGUAACCUGCCCUUGACUGUGGGAUAACUUCAGGAAACUGGGGCUAUUACCGGAUAGGAUCUCCUGCUGCUUGGUGGUCGUUGGUAAGUUUCGGCGGUUGGGGAUGUACUGGCGGCUUAUCAGCUUGUUGGUGGGGUAGUGGCUGACCAAGGCUUUGACGGCUAGCCGGCCUGAGAGGGUGACCGGCCACAUGAGGACUGGGAUACGGACCAGACUCCAACGGGAGGCAACGGUGGAGAGUCUUACACAGUAAGCGGGAGCCUGAUGUAGCAACGCCGCGAGCGGGAAGCGGUGCUUCGGGUUGUGAACAGAUUUCGCAUUAGACGAGGCGAGAGUGACGGUAACGGGUAAAGAAGCACCGGCUAACUACGUG